Long non-coding RNA from Haliotis rubra (blacklip abalone), 308 nucleotides. RefSeq lists it as uncharacterized. The record is from RefSeq and is a predicted model, not a curated record. NCBI's taxonomy places the organism in Eukaryota, Metazoa, Mollusca, Gastropoda, Lepetellida, Haliotidae. The transcript is spliced from 3 exons.
UAACAUGCCGUGAUUACACAAGAAGGUCUGGAUGCUCGCCAGCCGCAUCGAACAUCGGAGAUAGGGAUGAUUCUUGCUCCGAAUAAUCAUGUCUUCUGUGUACAGUAUAAACAGAAUUCCAUGUAGAAGUUCCACCAUAUUGUUCAUUGGAGUUCAAACCUUCAUACCAGGGUGUCCAGUUUUGUGAAUCUUGCACUCACGAAUAAAAAAGAAGUUGUUAUCCAUAAGUGAACAGAAUGACUGUCUGGUUGAUAAUGUGGACAGCACUCUUGGUAAUGGCUACAGAAGGUAAAACAUUGUAUUGUUAC